RNAcentral lists this ribosomal RNA (439 nucleotides) under Pseudomonas sp. Arv-21-4.4b. Its description in RNAcentral is "bacterial SSU rRNA". It matches the Rfam family "Bacterial small subunit ribosomal RNA", at positions 56 to 490 of the family's 1533-position model. The record is from RNAcentral. Lineage: Bacteria; Pseudomonadati; Pseudomonadota; Gammaproteobacteria; Pseudomonadales; Pseudomonadaceae.
UGCAAGUCGAGCGGAUGAAGGGAGCUUGCUCCCUGAUUCAGCGGCGGACGGGUGAGUAAUGCCUAGGAAUCUGCCUGGUAGUGGGGGACAACGUCUCGAAAGGGACGCUAAUACCGCAUACGUCCUACGGGAGAAAGCAGGGGACCUUCGGGCCUUGCGCUAUCAGAUGAGCCUAGGUCGGAUUAGCUAGUUGGUGAGGUAAUGGCUCACCAAGGCGACGAUCCGUAACUGGUCUGAGAGGAUGAUCAGUCACACUGGAACUGAGACACGGUCCAGACUCCUACGGGAGGCAGCAGUGGGGAAUAUUGGACAAUGGGCGAAAGCCUGAUCCAGCCAUGCCGCGUGUGUGAAGAAGGUCUUCGGAUUGUAAAGCACUUUAAGUUGGGAGGAAGGGCAUUAACCUAAUACGUUGGUGUUUUGACGUUACCGACAGAAUAAG